GGGGCUGAACAGAGGAACGGCAGGGGUGUAGGGUGUCUCGAGCCCAGUGUGAACAGCUGAGAGGUGUGAUUUCACAGGCUGGCUCCCCCCUGUCAGGGCCCUGAUUGGGCCGGACAGGAGGCGCAGGAGAGGCCCGGGCUUCUAAAGGACACCAACAGGUGGGAGGCCGCUUUGGAGGGGGGCACUCCUGGCGGGAUAGAAAAGGCCGAUCUGCAAGGCCUGUAGUGGGCACAAUCCACCGGCCAGAUAUGGAGGAGGAUGGUUGAUCGCAGGAUAGCUGAGGCGAAGAAAGGAGAGGGGCAGGAUGAAGUUGGGGACUGGUUCUCAGGAAGCUGAGGGGUAGUUUGAAAUGAGUUUGUGCUUUUAAUGGGUGGAAAGGGCAACUUCAGGGAAAAGGUUGGUCUGAGAUUUAUCUGGUAGCUUUUCCUUUUGUUAGUUAAUAUAAAAGUUUCAGAUUUGACUUCAGCAAAUGGGCAUCUAGGUUCUCUAGGUUCACAAGGUUUUAACAAAUCUUCUAGAUUAGGAUGUUGUAGACUUUUGUCCUCAGUUUCUUUCAUUUGCAGCACUGUGUGAGUAAAAUCAGGUGUCAAACCAGUUGUUAAAUGUUUUCUGCAAGUUUACGAUAGACACAGAGCUCCAUGUCGGAGCCUGACACCUCUGUCAGGUGAGCGGGAAGCUGAGGUGUAAUACAGGAAAGAAUCAGGAAAUUUGGUGACUUGACAUGUGUCUCUCAGAGGAGCCGUCACACUCCAAUCAAAGUGAAAGGGCAAGUCUUUCAAAUGGCCAUUUGGUUCGGAGCUGGUUGACAUAGCAAGUGGUUAAAUUUUUCACGGAAGUCACCACUAGACAGUGUAGGAGAUGCCGGCUGAACCAAGUGUGGCCUCAAGCUCAACACCAGCUACUCAGCACAAGAAGAACACAAGAGGAGGCACAACACAUUUCACUGAAGGUAAGGCUGAAGAGGACAUGACGGCCUGACUGCUUGGAGAUGAAGCCCACCCUCUAUUUCUGCUCUUUCUCGUCCCUCAUUUUCCUUAUUUUCUAUGUCCUCUACCCCUGUAACCCUUCCUCUCCCCCCUCCUGCCCUCCCUCUCACUCUGCCUCUUGAGGCUGAAGCAACACACCUUGCUGUGGCUGGUCAAACGGAACCAAGUCAGGUGUUUCUGUGAGGUUUGGUCCCCUUCAACCAGCUACUGCGUCGUGAAUUCAGUCAGCAGACACCAGCGUGGAAUCAAAGACACAGUGGCGUUGUGGUGUAUGCUGUAUAUUUUGGAGGUGGUAGUCGGUUAACAAUGAUAGACAGAUAGAUAGUUUCUUUUCUUCAGUGGUUUGUUGUUGGUUGUUUCCUGUAUGACAAUGGAUGUUAAUAAAAAUAUUGCUGACAAUA
This is a long non-coding RNA of Morone saxatilis (striped sea-bass), 1387 nucleotides long. RefSeq lists it as uncharacterized. NCBI's taxonomy places the organism in Eukaryota, Metazoa, Chordata, Actinopteri, Moronidae. The transcript has 2 exons. The record is from RefSeq and is a predicted model, not a curated record.